Molecule: ribosomal RNA, 461 nt
Filed under: uncultured bacterium
Lineage: Bacteria
Description: bacterial SSU rRNA
Rfam family: Bacterial small subunit ribosomal RNA
Source: RNAcentral
UUCGCAAUGCCCGAAAGGGUGACGGAGCGACGCCGCGUGUGGGACGAAGCCCUUCGGGUUGUAAACUCCUGUCGAGGGGGAAGAAGGGCCGCGAGGCCUUGAUUGAUCCCUGGAGGAAGCACGGGCUAAGUUCGUGCCAGCAGCCGCGGUAAGACGAACCGUGCGAACGUUAUUCGGAAUCACUGGGCUUAAAGCGCGUGUAGGCGGGUGCCUAAGUACCUUGUGAAAUCCCACGGCUCAACCGUGGAACUGCUGGGUAUACUGGGUGCCUUGGGUCAUCUAGGGGCUGCCGGAACAAAUGGUGGAGCGGUGAAAUGCGUAGAUAUCAUUUGGAACACCAGCGGCGAAAGCGAGGUCCUAGGCUCGUACUGACGCUGAGGCGCGAAAGCCAGGGGAGCGAACGGGAUUAGAUACCCCGGUAGUCCUGGCCGUAAACGAUGGGCACUAAGUAGAGGGGUUUU